GACGAACGCUGGCGGCGUGCUUAACACAUGCAAGUCGAACGGAAAGGCCCUGCUUUUGUGGGGUGCUCGAGUGGCGAACGGGUGAGUAACACGUGAGUUACCUGCCCUUUACUUUGGGAUAACUUCAGGAAACUGGGGCUAAUACCGGAUAGGAGCUCCUGCUGCAUGGUGGGGGUUGGAAAGUUUCGGCGGUUGGGGCUGGACUCGCGGCUUAUCAGCUUGUUGGUGGGGUAGUGGCUUACCAAGGCUUUGACGGGUAGCCGGCCUGAGAGGGUGACCGGCCACAUUGGGACUGAGAUACGGACCAGAAUCCUACGGGAGGCAGCAGUGGGGAAUAUUGCACAAUGGGCGGAAGCCUGAUGCAGCAACGCCGCGUGCGGGAUGACGGCCUUCGGGUUGUAAACCGCUUUCGCCUGUGACGAAGCGUGAGUGACGGUAAUGGGUAAAGAAGCAACGGCUAACUACGUG
RNAcentral lists this ribosomal RNA (468 nucleotides) under uncultured bacterium. RNAcentral describes it as "partial 16S ribosomal RNA". It matches the Rfam family "Bacterial small subunit ribosomal RNA", at positions 28 to 507 of the family's 1533-position model. The record is from RNAcentral.